This 317-nucleotide long non-coding RNA is filed under the name Amborella trichopoda. Its description in RNAcentral is "long non-coding RNA (ATRI_LNC004187)". Lineage: Eukaryota; Viridiplantae; Streptophyta; Magnoliopsida; Amborellales; Amborellaceae. The record is from RNAcentral.
GUGACUACAGCCAGAUAUAUAGUUUAAAUAGUCCUUCGGGUGCAUAUACAAUCCACUGAGAUUUUAGAAUUCUGCUAUCUAUCAGCUUUGAUGGAUCAAGUAUGAGCAUUUGUCAUGGGUUCUAUUUGGUUGAGUUAAGAAAGUGGUUGUGGUUUCAAGGCCCAUUGGAAAGCCCUAGACUCAUGUUUCAAACUCUAAAGGUACCUAAUUCCCCACCACUAGAAUCCCAAAUAAAUUUAUUUUAUUAAAAUAAGAAGAAAUUUUUAAAUUUUUUUUUUAAAAAAAUUAUACUUGAUUUGAAGCCUACAUAGGUCUAG